UUUCACUCAGCCGACAUUAAACCACGUCCUCGCCAGGUCUGGUGUCUUCUGCAUUUAUUAUUCUUUUUGUAGCGUUUUUUGCGGCUUUUUGGUGAGUCACAAUUUUGAGCUGGAGCUUAUUUCUCUAAGGAGGCAGUCAUGUGUUAAGCUGCAGUAAAGCUGCAACUUGUUUGGGGCGUAGCAAAAAAAAAAAAGGAGCCUGUUUCCCCCUUUCCAUUCACUCCUGGAUUCCUUUGUAUAUUAGAUCUUUAAAAACAAGUAAUACAGGAACAAUUUUAUAUCAUUCUCUCAGUUUGGGUUUUUAGCAACCAGGGUUAAUUUUUCUUCUUCUGCCAAUCAGGAUAUAACCGAGACACCGAGAGUGAAACUUUCUGACACUCCGUUUAGCACAAACUUCCUGGAAUAGCUCAUUUUGAAAGUCAGCCUUUUUCAUUAUGAGGGGGGAAUUUGGGUGUCUUUAAUGUUUUGGUUGAAACCUCUUGUAUUUUUCUCUCUACGUUUCUCUCGCUCUUUUUUUUUCUUUUUCCAGAGGGAUAUCAAAUGGCGACGAACUCUCUUACACGUCCCCGUCCGCCGCCUUUCACGUGUUGUCGGUGCGAGGCGGUGACACGGGCCGACUGAAAGAGACUCGCGGUGGGCGAGCACCAUUCCGCUUUACCGAGGCUGCACUGCAGCGCCGAGUGUGUGUGUGUGUGUGUGUGUGUGUGUAACACCGGACAUGCGGCGUUUUUUUUCGGGAAAUAGCUUGUCUAUAUGCAGGGCUCUUGUGUAACGGCUUGGGCUGUGAAUCCCACUUCACCUCAGUUGAACUUGGCCGAUCGAGUUCACCAGCGACAUGAACGCUGUCAGGCCGGUGUGGCGGGUUCCGCGAGGAGCAGAAGAAGAAGAAAAGAAAGCGCUACCGUUAAUACACCAGACUCAGAAAAAUCUCUCGACCUAUUUCGUAGACGCUUAUUUAUUUAUUUAGUGGUUUAUUUAAUUAUUUAUCUCCACCCUCCCUUUUCGCUUCUAACGCCGAGGGGACGAGGCAGGUCGCUGAUGCUUUUUUGUGUUGUUUUGUUGUUGUUGUUUUCUACGCUCGCGCUCGUCUCGCCGUCGUUGCCGAGGAGCUCGCGCGCAACAAAAGUAACCGGGACGACGGGAAUUCGCCAUGGAGAAAGAAUGACAGCUCUCCACCGCCGGGAGACCGCGAGCUCGGCCGUCUUUCCUCUUUUCCUUCGUCUCCUCUUCGCACUUGAACUUGUGCUUGAACUCCAAGAAACGGCCCCGUCGAAGCCUAAAUGUUGGUGCUUAAAAUGGCGUAACCUUGUACAUGCAGCCUUUUCGAUGUUCGACAGCUUCUUGAUCAGACUGAGGAACAUUUGAUAGAUGAGGUGCUUACUCAUGGCAUUAUGAUACAGAGGCUGACCCUAGAGUUCACAGUCGUAAUUGAGAAGUCUUGUAGACACGUGCGCAUGGGGCCCCAGGAGAGACCACCACCGCAGCGGAGCUGGGGAGAGUAAGGCCUUCAGGACCAGUCUGUAUUGCUUCAGUCUGUCCACAUUUUCCCCUUUUGUGAGGUAAGUUUUUUAUACAGCAUUUUCAGUGAGGGUUAUUGUGUAUAAUCACAUUUUUUACAUGUAUAGUUCUAAGUCUGUCGUGGUCGAUUCGAAUGUAGGAUCAUAUUUUUAAUUCAAACGUGUGUCUAUGUUUACAUGCCUAUCGAUGCACUUGCGUUGGUUUUAACUAAUGAUUUUUUUUUAUUUAUUUCCAUGACCAACAUGCAAAAUCUGCACAGUAACAGGUCGAAUAUUAUAAGAAUUUAAAGCUACAAAAUAUGGCGCAAAUCGGCAGGCAGUUUUUUAUCAUAAUAGUAUGGUAACCACAUCGAUAUUUCGGCGCUUAGAAAAAGAAAAUUUGCCUGUUUUACCUUCAAAAUUUAGAAUUUGCUGCCUUUAUUGGGCUUAUUUGGUUUCUGAUCGCUAAUAUAUAAGGCUUAGAAGGGAGUCCUUCAGAUGCGAGUCCUUAUAAAGACUCAUUACGACAUUAAGGCCAGGCCAAACCCUACUACCAUCCCAACAUUUUCUGCAGGCAUCCAUUUCGUUUAAUAAGGAAGUCAGGAGUACAGAAUUUGCUUUCUAGAAACCUUGUGUUCAGCCUGACAGGUUUUUUAAUAUAUGAGCUGAAACUAAUGCUUUUUUAAAAAUACAUCAUUUUAAAAUGUAUUGGUUUGUGGUUUGUUAAUUUUUUUUUUUAAAUAUCAUAUUUGCAAGAAUCAAACAAAGAAAAUUCUGUAAGUACGCAUUAUAAUAUUAUAACUAAUGUUUUUAUAACUAAGUAUUUUUCUUAAAGUAACUUUAUAAUCAAUAUCUGUCACUUAAGGUUUAAAUAGAAAUUUAAGCUCAUCAUUUUAUAUUUUGAAGGAGUAUUCGAUUUUUAUUUGGGAAUUUUCCGGGGGGGGGGUUUCGCAUAUCUGUGCCUGUUUUUAUUUUACUUUAUUUUAUUUUAUUUUUUAUUUUAUAUUAUUUUUUAGGUUAUAUUGUAUUGUAGUAAGGGCAAAAUUAUCUCAACAUUACAAAAAGAGAUCUCUGAGCACACCCUUACACACACACACACUCUCUCUUUUUUUCACACACACACACACACACACACACACACACACACACACAGAGAUAUGAGCACCUUUUGAAGAUGUAAUAAUUUUUGGUUUCUUAUGUUUACUCAGCAAAACAAUCAGAAAUUGUGUUUAGAUUUAUAGGUGGUGGUGCAGCAGUAAGGGCAGCAUUUCUCCCUGUAAAUGCAAUUAAAUUAAAAUUUAUAGGCAAGUAGUUCAGCAGGUCUGCUUCACCUGAGUUGGUUUAUGAUAGGUAGUAUACUGCUGGACAAAUGACAGAUUAAUCUCUGAGUGGGGGGGUUUGAAGUGUUUUGGCACAUAAGUGGCAUAUUGAGUUGGAAGUGAACACCCCCACCCAUCCUUUCUGAAUCGACCCGUCUACUCUGUUUUUUUUUUUUUUCCCUUUAGUGAAUGGAGUGUUCCAGAAAUGGUGUAUGGUAUAAGCACAUUGCAGGUGGCGUCAUGUAAAUGGUAGGGUGGUUGGGGCAUGAUUGAAGCUUGAGGUUUAACCAGUAAACCUUGUUUAUUUAAGAGUAUGAAAUAUAUUUUGUGUCUGAAUAGAAUUUAACAUUUAAAUAUAUGCAUGGUGUUUCUUGUGAAAUAUUCAUUAUUUGCUGUAUUUCUUCAGAACUCUGUGUGUGUGUGUGUGUGUGUGUGUGUGUGUGUGUGUGUGUGUGUGUGUGUGUUGGGGGUUCCUAUAAAAUUUUGUGCGUAUUACUAUAAUUGUAAAACAACCUCGAACACUGUAACAUAAUGACAUACACACAACAAAAACAACACACAACUAGACUUACUUGCCCCACAAGAGGCAAGAGGACUCUAGUUCAGCCCUGAAUGAAAUUCCCACGCCUUUAAUGUGUGCAUAUGAGAAUAAAGGGUCUACACCCCCCAAACCCCCCGCCCAAAAAGACACUCAUCCAUACCCAGUCUAGACGUAAAACGUGUCUUGUGUUCAGUGCAGAAUGAGAAAAAAAAGGAAAAAAAAAACAGAAUAGGGGGACAUGACAUUAAACGAAUUUAACAGCAUUUCAUGAUUGAUCUACACAAACAAUAUUUAUUAUUUUAAACUUCUAAAGCAUAAUUAUUGUAAUAUCUUUACAUGCCGAAGAAAAUCAAUUUGCUAUUUUAAAUUACCAAAAUAUUUAAAGCAUGAUUAGGUUUACAGAAUUGGAGGUGCUGGAAAAUUAAUAUUUAAAAAUAUGAUAAUUAAUAAAUUGUUAAAAAUGUUUAAAUAGUAGAUAUCUUUGUAUGUUUUUGUCUGUGUAAGAAUGUGUUUUAAUGUUUAACUGUUUGUGUUCAAGUGAUGGGAACUGAAUAUAACUUUCUAGAACAAAGUGUAUAUAUUUAAAAGGUCCUUCUUGUUUUUAAGCCAUGUGUGUAAAAUCACAAGUUUAUGAUUAAGCUCACAGGCAAAGUGCUUCACGAUGUUCUGACUUUUUAAUACAAAAAUAGUGGCAGUUGUUUUUCUAAAGAAAAUUGUGUAGAAGUGUCACAGCUUCAUUCUUAAUGUAAAGAUUAAUUAAAUUUUGUUAAUGUUGCAUUGACAAUUAUUUUGCUAAAUGUAAUGUUAAGAAUUCUUUUUUUUGUGCUGUUUUUUUGCACAUGCACAUAUUUGCGCUUACGUCACGUUUUCCAUUUCUAAAAUUAAAAAGCAUUAUAAAUGCGUAAUUGCAAAAGCAAAAGUUCCUAAAUUGUUUAUCAAAAGUUGUUAAUUAUUUUGCAACUUGUAUUUCAUUUAAUGAAUAUGAAAUGUGUGUAAUCAGCACUAAAAAAAUAUUUAUAACAUUCUUUACCGGGAGGACUUUAUGAACUUAAAUGUGUGUGUUUGUGUGUAUGUGUGCGUGUUUGUGUGUGUGUGUGUGUGUGUGUGUGUGUGUGUGUGUGUGUGUGUGUGUGUACAGCAUAAUGCUGACAUUACCUGUAUCCUAUAUCAAUUCUUUAACAAAUUUAAAGCAGAUCACAACAGAAAGUGUAAGCAUAUUUCUGUCACUAACAAAAGUGUCAUCUUAGAUUUAUGUAAAUGUUGAUUAAGAGUAUUUGAUGAAAAAGUAAGAUCAUUAUAAAUCAUUAUAAAUUUAUUUGGAUAAUUGUUUUAUUUUAUAAAAAUGACUACUAUAAAAUAAUAACUUAUAAGAUGCAAGUAAUACAGCAUCACCUGGAUUAUGUAAAAAAAAAGUAAAAUAAAAAAAAAAGCUAUUGAUUAUUUUCUUUCAAUUUAAAAGGUGUUGCUGAAAUGACUGCCGAUUUCAGAUUUUUUUCCUGAUAUAUGAAAAUACAGAUUAGAAUACAUUUAAUUGCUUUAGUGACAGUAUUGUUUAGAAUCAAAUCACCAUUAGUUUGACAUUAGCGUAUUAUCUGAGAACUUACAUAAUGCCAGUGAAUUAACGGUUAUGACACUGUCAGUCAAAUGUGGCUGAACCACACCAGUUUGCUGAAAGAAAUGAUACAUUACUCUGAUCAAAUCUGUAAUCAUGUAACCAUGUAGAUGAUGGAUUGUAGACAAGUGACAUUUCUGUGGAACUUUUACAAUUCUGUUAUGAUCUCGGUCAUGACUAUAUAUUUAGUAAAGCUGUAAUUGUCUGGAAAUAACAAAUGGAACUUUUGGAUUGAAAAUCAUGUUGCAGUAAAAAUAUAUAUAAAGCGUCUCGAUUAAUACGUCUGCUAUUUGGUUAAACAUAAAGUAUUUAAAUGUCUGUGUGUUUAUUUCAUCUAUAGUGUUAAGUAUUUUUUAUUAAUUGCUGGGAAGCUUGGCAUUUGUUAGUGAACAUUGGUGCUUUAUUUAUUUUACGAAUUCUUAUUGAGUAUUACGUCUCUGUUUUGUGAUCAUUUAAGGCAUCAUUAAAACCUGGUAUUAUUUGCCCAUCUGGCUAGGGUGUGCUUUGCUAUCAUAAAUGUUUAACAGAUUAUUUUCAGGCAGCAGCUUUAUUUUGAAUUUUGUUGACUUUUGACUUGGUGCGAAAAGACGUAUUCAAAUACCUGCAGCACUGAUUUAUCACUGUAAUAUUACAUCAGACAGGGUGCAUUGCUCUCUGUCAGCGGAGCUUACAAACCGCAGCAAAUCAAAUCUCUUUUAUCAGUUCUUCUAAAAAAAACAGCUGUCACAAUGACCAUGGUUCCUUGCUGCAGCUUUGGUAACAGAAAUCAGGUGCAUGAAAGUGACUCCAGCACCCAAAGGUCAAAUGGGGAUUAAGAGAAACGGGACUCUGGAGCAGUGCAGAGAGUGGCCUGUUCUGCAUAAAAGCCCUAUUGUCACAGAAUACAGCGCUCUCGCUCUCACUGCAAGGAGCAGGCAGGUCUUAAGCCUUAGGAGUACAGCGCCACCUACUGGCUGUUAAUUGCUCCAACCUGACACUAUCUCCACCAGGCUCCAUAGGGUCAUAUGAACAACGUAUUCAAACAAGAAACAAUGAUUACCUACAUCAAGCACAAAUGAAUGCACAAUGGGUGCAUUGUGAAUGUAUAGAACAUGCAUGAUUCGGACUGAGAAAGGCGAGAAACGCCAAGUGAUGUGCCUUAUCAUUCUACAUCUCUGUUUCUCUUUAUAUGUGUAGAGAUUGAGCUUCUAUGAGGUGUGCCAUUCCUGCAUCUAGGUCACAGGUUAUGUAAUGACACUGUCACGUCAUGCAAUGUAAGAGUGAUGGGAUGGAACUGGAAGGAGAACUAGAAUGUGUGGGAUAAAACAAGCCUUCGCAUUUAUCUAUUAAAAGUCCAGCACACACAGCUCCUGUAACACCAAACAUUGUUAGACACAUGGACAGGGAGUGCAGCUCAGCUCCACAUUUAACUCUACUCACUCCAACAGGUCUUUCAAGGACACUGAGGAGGCCUUAUAAUUACUCCCACCGCAGUUUGAUGUGGAUGGAUGAUUUGGCUUGAGGGAUGUUGUUAAUUUUCCCGCUUUAUUGUAGAGGUGGUUGAUUUUUAAAAACGCCCUUCACUGAGGAGGUGUACAUUUAUAGAGCAUGAUUCAGAGCAGGUUACUCCUACUCUACACUCUCCAAGUGUAGAGUAGGUAAAUGAGUAAUGUAAAUUGCUUUAUAAACUGUUGAAUUUUACAAAUGGGUCAAACUGAGAAAGAAAUGAAAAGAGAGACCUAGUUUUCUGAAAAUGUAAUAGAGAGGAACCUUGAAAAAAGUAAAGCAAAUGUGUUUAAAUUAAAUUUAUUCUUACAUAACUUUUUAUGGAAACCAGGCCAAAAAAAGGGAGUUUAAAGGUUUUUCUUUUCUCAAUGAUUGCUUCUAACAGUGUAAUUUUUGAGUGGUACCUAAGUAACAUUAUUCUUUAUUUGUAAUAUGAUUUUGAAGAACUACAUGCACAAGUAAUAUUUCAGUGUGCUGUAUAUCUGUUUAUCCUAUCUGAUGUGUAUUUAUAGCAUUGUUCCCGAAUAAAAAAUAAAAAAAGCCUAAGAAUAAUUCAAAGCCCUAAUAUUUAACCAUUAAACGAAUUUGAUUCAACCACAGCUUUAUAUUUAUGGCCCUUAAAAAAAUAAACACUUGAUAUUUUAGUCUUAUUUUGUUUGGAAAAUGACUUGACUCAGUGUUUGAGUUAGUGGUAGUGUGUUUGUGCAUCGUGUGAUUGUGUGCGUAUGGUAAGCUUGUGUGAGUCAGUGCUGCGGUAACAGUGGGGUCUGUGGUAGUAUGAGUAAGCUGUAUGUGUGUGCCUGAGGUAAACCACAAUGUAUCCCACACUCUCAGGCCUCCCGAUUACUCAGAUAUGGACACUUGCAUAUGCACGCCGCAGUCAUACCUGCAUGUUUGCAGUCCACACAUGUGGAACCGAUGCGCCAGUGCUCAUUCAAGCCAGAGGUGCGAUCUGAUCCUGCUCAGGCUCAGCAUGCAAAACUGUAAACAAGAAUUCCAUUAAUAAUGAAAAGAGCUUGAGAAACAUCACACCACACAGUGUAGCUAAAGACACAGCGAGAGAAAGCAUAUGUCACUGCUGUGUUGACUGCUGUACAUGUAAAUAAAUGUUUACAAUCCAAUCACUUUUUGUCUCUUUUUCUCCCUUUCUCUCUUCCACAGAUGGCCAAAUAAUUAUUGUUUUACAUAAAAUCGUGUCCAGUGGAACUCCUCAUGAAGCAAAGCUGUGUAUUAAGGUGGUAUUAUUUAUUUACACUUCUUGUUAUUACACUUGUCUAUAUGUUUGCCAGAUAUGUCUAAUAAUCCUCAGGAAUCCUUUAUUACUCUGUAUCUGGAUUCAAUAAAUUUGAAUUGGAAUGAAUUGUUUGGGAGUUAAUGUAUGUGGAUCAUCAGUCCUGUUUCAAAGAGACACUGUCCUUUGGGGUGAGGUAGUAGGUUGUAUAGUUUUAGGGUUGAGCCCUUGCUGUCAGAUAACUAUACAACUUACUGUCUUUCCUGAAGUGGCCGUAAUGUCACCGAUGAAGAGCUGCGUGACCAGUAAACGACCUCAUCACAGAUGCCUUUAAGGAUUUAUUAGACCCCAUCUAAUAGUAGCAAGAGAAGUGUGUUAAUGAGUGCUUCCUCGUAGAUUCCCGGUAUAAUAUAGCAGAAAUGAAGGAAAGAAAAUAUAAAAAUGUUGCAUUUAUUACUGAAAACAGGAUUUGAAACAUAAGGCAAACUAUACAGAAGAAAAUAGUUUGAGAAGACCUUCGUGCUUUGACCUUUGUGAAACCUAACAUACAAAAAGCCUUGCUUCUAUGAAUGUAAGUCUCCCUUUUUCUUCAAGCUAAUUUAAACUUUUUAUAAAUAAAAGCAGUUUGUCUGAAUGCCGAAUAAUGAGAAAAUGUGUUUAUCCAGCAGUGUCUUCAGUUUAGUCAGAUUUCUGGUGUUGUUUAAAGACAAGACAACAAAUACCAAGCAGCUCUAUUUUGAGUUCCACUGAUGUUUGUUCAUCUGUGAGCUCAAACAAGAUGUCUGUACGCUGGAGAAACUUUUCAGUGAUGUUCGUACAGGGUGAGGUAGUAGGUUGUGUGGUUUCAGGGUCGUGAUUUUGCCCCAUCAGGAGAUAACUAUACAACCUACUGCCUUCCCUGAAGGGCAGCAAUACGUCACUGGAUACCAACUGAAAGAUGGCACUGAGUUGUUGUUGUUGUUGUUUAUUUCAGCUGGAUUGUCAUUUUUUGAAGAGCAAUAAUAAAAAUAAAUAUCUAA
Silurus meridionalis is the source of this 8703-nucleotide long non-coding RNA. RefSeq lists it as uncharacterized. The transcript has 5 exons. The record is from RefSeq and is a predicted model, not a curated record. Lineage: Eukaryota; Metazoa; Chordata; Actinopteri; Siluriformes; Siluridae.